AUGAACCCAUAUCUUAUGAUGAUUAUUAUGAAAUCUUGAUGUUUAUGGUUUUGAAAGAUGAAUUUACAUGUGUGGAGAUAUAAAGCAUGAAUCUUGAACGAUAUUUAUCAUGAUUUUGAUAUUUGGGUUGUGAAUCCCCAUUGAAAAUUGUGUUUUUUUGAGAAAGUGUGUGUCAUAAGCACGUUGAUGUUGAAUAUUUG
RNAcentral lists this long non-coding RNA (200 nucleotides) under Capsicum annuum. RNAcentral's name for it is "long non-coding RNA (CANN_LNC017895)". Lineage: Eukaryota; Viridiplantae; Streptophyta; Magnoliopsida; Solanales; Solanaceae. The record is from RNAcentral.